UUCACCCAAAAAAAAAAAAAAAAAAAAAAAAAAAGUCUUGGGUUUAGGGGAAACACCAACAUCGUCAUGCAUAACAAAGUCUAUUUAUUUCUUUAUAAUAACUGUUAGUUAAUUAAUAUAUACAAUAUAGUAACAUCACAUAAUAUUGUGUUCUUGUUAUUUAAUUAUUAUAUAAUACUACUACUACUAUAUUAUUGCUACGUUAAUGUUCUAUCCAUUAUUAUAGGUAUUAUCAUUAUGCCAUGCCACUGAUUUGAGCACUAACUUCUUAAAUUAAUAGCGUCUGAAAAAGCUAAUGCCGUAAAAUUGCUUAUUUGACUAUAAGUCUAGGACACUUGAACAGAUAAAAACUCUCUUUUUAUUGGAUGAUGGAAAAAUAAAUUAGUUUUUCUAAUUGUAAAAUUUUGAUACAUGAUCACAAUUGUAUAGUGUUGUGUUAGAGAUAUGUUUUUGACAAAUGACUUUAAACAUAAUAUAUUGCUAACAUUGCUUUUCACGAAAUGAUGAUAGCAAACAUAACAUAAUAAAUUUUAGAUCACCCUUUAAGCACCAUCUUGUGAAACUAAGUUGAAUGAGGGAUAGUUUGUUAUUGACAGUUUUAUGUGAGUUUCCAGAAUAUUGAAGCAAUUGACAGAUGAGCAAACUUUGAAAGAUAUGUUGUUAUUCUGUGCUUUUUAAGGACUUGAAGUAGUGAAAUGUUGAGUUUCCACAAAUUUUCCAGUCAGAAAGGCAUAAACAAGAUCUCUUAGCUGAGAUAGUUUUGGAGGAGCAACGUGGUAGGGAACUAUCUAAAUUGUAACAGAAUUGCUUCCUAAUACAAAGAGCUCUACAAUUGUGGAUAAACCAUCCCGGGCCUGAAAGAGGAGUAAUGACAGAAAUAAGGUGUCUAAACGAUUGACUGAAGAAGCAGAGAAAUAUUUUGAGGACUUCAUUUCAAAUGUUGAAGAUAUUAAAAUUUCUUUAUUUGAUGGAGAAAGGAGUGAUGCAAGUUUGACUUUAGGAGUAACAAAGACUAGAGAUGCAGUGUCACAUUCUAGGGAAACAGAAACAAUUUAUAAUACAGCAGGAUCUAAUUCUCUUCCUAUUGAAAUGGAUGGUGUUAUUCUGCCUUGGUUGCAGUAGGAGACCGCCAAUGAUGGUCCCCCUCUUCCAUCGAAGAAUAAGAAAGAGCUUCCUGGGACUCUAAAAAGUAUCUUAUGGGAUGCAACUUAGGUAACCUUCAAACUGUCACAUAGUUGUAAUAUUUUAAUUCAUAAAUUGUUGUUCUAACCUUUGCUGACUAAAAGUUAUUGCACAGAACAUACUUUCAUUUAGUUGUAAGUUGACUACUUCACUGGCUUACAAUACUUUCAUUUAGAUGUAAGUUGUUUGCUUCAUUGGUUUAUAAGAAAUUAGUUGCCUUUUGUACUUGUGAUAAGAAUUAUACAAUAUCAACUCUUCAGAUUUUAAAUUAAGGUUGGUAAAUUUUUAAACAAGAUUUUUUUAGCUGAAAUUUUAAGUUUAAUAGAACUUUAUAUUUUAUAGGUUGAAAUUUGACAGCAUAUAGAACAUUGAAAGGGGAAAAUAAACAGACUUUACAAUCUUCUCUUUUUUUUUUUCUUUUUUUUUUGGAUAAGUACAGACUUUACAAUCUUUACACGUGCGUAUCUUAAAAGUGAAAAUUUUAAGUUGGUACAUGCAGUUUUCAAACUCUGACUUUUCUCAAUUAUUUGGUCAUGUCUCAUUUGAGUUUUAAUUGUUUUACAAAAUUGUUCAAAUGGCAUUUAUAUAGGCAAACAUGAUGUGGUUACAAUAAUUUAUGUUUGUAUUUGCUUGAAGUCAAUGCUAUUGCUGUGUAAUAAAAUGUUGCUUAGUUGCCAAUGCAUUCAACCCAAACUGUCUACCAAUCCUUUAGUUGUCCAACCACCCAAGCAACUGGGUUGACUUGGGGCAUCAUGCUGAUAUCAAAAUGCCUAUUAACAAACAUAAUUAGCAAAAAAGAUGAGAAAUAAUUUGAAGACAAAUUAUGAUGACCUUGAUCUAGUGCACUGUUCAUAGCCCUAUUGGUGCCACAAGAUCCAUUUAAGGAAAUGCUAAUUUACUUCACUCUGUUUUUUAUUUUGUUUUCUUUGACUAGUAAAUAAUUCUUCAAGUCUACUGCCAUCUCCACUUAUUGAAAGGCUUUAAACUCCAUUCUGGUUUUUAAAACAUUGAUUAUAGAACAGAAUGUGUUUCACUCAAACAUUAUUUAUAGGAUAUAGUUUCAACACUUUUUUGCAUCACCCAUCAAUAGGGAAUUUCGGGUCCUCAAUUCAAUAUUGCUCAUAUUAAUUUGCAUUUUUUUCCUCUAAUUAAAUUCUUAGAUUUUGACCAUCUGUUUUUGGUUGCUUGGAAUAUUAGUUAGGUGAUUAGAUUUGCUGCAGAACCAUGUUCUGCACUUUUUUUUUUUUUUGUUGCAACAAUGCGAAACUCAUUUAGGCCAUUAUUCAUGGGUAUAAAAUGGAUGACUUGCAAAUAAGCAUGCAUUGUGGCUGUAACCAAAAGUUAAUGGUGGCAAGGAGAGAAUCUGUUGAGUGGAUUUUAAGGGUUAGGAGUUAAAAGGAUGUAACCAAAAGUAAAAGCCAUGUGUGGUACAAUUAACUCUUUAUACAACAGAAAUGGGUGAUCAUGAGCAAGAUGGGGAAGCAAUUGAGCUUGCCUUCAGUAAGAAGAAAAUUGAAGCAAGGAAGAAUUGGCUCCGACAGUUUGAGCCUGGAACUUACCUUGAUCAGAAGGAGAAGGUCAUCAAGUACAGUGAUUUUGUCAACAAAGAGCUUUUAUUGUUUUCUAUGGCAGAUCUUCAACGGUCAAUUCCUUCAAUGGUUGAUGGCCUAAAACCAGGUCAAAGGAAGAUUCUUUUCUAGAAUAUUCAGUUAAUGCUAAUUACUAUACAAUUUUUUGAAACUCUUGUUUUACAUCAUUCUCUCCCUUUAGGAAAAAAAACCUCACCCUUGAUUUACUAUGAAUCGAAACUUCAUACGUUUGAGCUUGUCUGCAUCUAUCUUAUAGUUAAGGAUAAUCUUUUCACAUACUUGACUUUGGAAAAGUGUAACUCCUCUUGGGAUGAUUGUUGAAUGCAUAUGUCACAUAAAGGAUACUUGCUCCCAUCUAUGUGCAUUCUCUCUUAGUUCUUUUAGGAAAUAACAAUUCCUUGAAUUCUUAAAUUACUUAAGCAAGGAAUUUUGGCAUCUUCUUAAAAACCCUUCUUUUCAUUAGUUCGGUCAAGGUCGUACACUUUAGUAGGACAAGGAAAAUAACUAAGAGCAUAGUCAAAAAGUGGUUGCACACCUUUGUUUUUAAUUGCACUGCCCAAUAAUACAAGAACAAACUUCUGCGCUGUGGUAGCCCUCCGGUUUUCCUCUGUUAUUAAGCCAUCAGUUGGUGAAUAUUUUGAACUACAUAAUUUGAUCUCAUCUUGCAAUUUGACAAAUUUUUUUUUUUUUUGUUUGACGAAUCUUCACUUUCUGUAACAAGACUUCCAACUUUUGCAAUAAUGUCUUGGAUUUUUUCUUGGUAUACUUUCAAGACUUUUUCUUCAUUUAUUUCUUGGACACGAGACAAUAUAGAUUUGUCUUCAAACGUGAGCCCUUCAAGGAUAGUUUCGACAUAAGUAUUAAUAGUAUGGUGCUUAGGCUUGUAUUUUUCCUCCAAUAAUUGCUCAUAAUUCCAUGGCAAAAAAAUCUCCAUUAUAUGCCUUUUCAUUCUUGACCAUGAACGAAUACGCACCUUGCCUUGUUGCUCUCUUGAUGAUUGCAAAUCUAACUAUCACCAAAGUGCAGGACCUGUAAGCUUUAAUAACACAAACCUCUACUUUUAUUUGUUUGGAAUUUUCAUAUUUUCAAUAUAUAUAUAUAUAUCUAGUAUCCAAUCUAGAAUAUCUUAAAAUAUUCACCACCACUAAAUU
Molecule: non-coding RNA, 3922 nt
Organism: Camellia sinensis
Lineage: Eukaryota; Viridiplantae; Streptophyta; Magnoliopsida; Ericales; Theaceae
Source: RefSeq, a predicted model, not a curated record